Molecule: ribosomal RNA, 312 nt
Filed under: uncultured bacterium
Lineage: Bacteria
Description: bacterial SSU rRNA
Rfam family: Bacterial small subunit ribosomal RNA
Source: RNAcentral
GUGCCAGCAGCCGCGGUAAUACAGAGGGUGCGAGCGUUGUCCGGAAUCACUGGGCGUAAAGGGCGCGUAGGUGGCCACCAUAAGGCCGCGGUGAAAGUUCGGGGCUCAACCCCGAAUCGGCCGCGGCGACUGUGGGGCUUGGGUACCGUAGAGGCAGAUGGAAUUCCGGGUGUAGCGGUGGAAUGCGUAGAGAUCCGGAAGAACACCAGUGGCGAAGGCGGUCUGCUGGGCGGUGGGAUCGAAAGGUCUCUUAAACCGACACUGAGGCGCGACAGCGUGGGGAGCAAACAGGAUUAGAUACCCUGGUAGUCC